This 73-nucleotide transfer RNA is filed under the name Pteropus alecto (black flying fox). It matches the Rfam family "tRNA". From Rfam's summary of the family: Transfer RNA (tRNA) molecules are approximately 80 nucleotides in length. Their secondary structure includes four short double-helical elements and three loops (D, anti-codon, and T loops). The record is from Rfam by way of RNAcentral. Lineage: Eukaryota; Metazoa; Chordata; Mammalia; Chiroptera; Pteropodidae.
GGCUCCAUAGUGCAGCGGUUACAACAUCUGCUUUACACACAGAAGGUCCUGGGUUUGCACCCUAGUAAAGCCA